AUUCUCUGAACCUUGAAAAAUCACUUCGGAGACGAACGAACUUUCCAUAAAUGCAAUACCCAUUCGCAUACUCUAAAAUACCAUGAUCAAACUCGCUAAAAUUCUAUUCUAUCAGGUUGCCACAAAUCACAUCCCCACCUCGAUUGAUCUUAAAAGAUAAAACAUUAUGAACUUCUGUGUUUCCAGGAAAACAAUUAUGUGAUCCUCCUUGCUUGAUCCUCGCUUCCUGAACUCCCUCUUUAAAAUUUUGUUCUUGCUCUGACUUCUUUCUAAAACUCAUUUUCUGAGUUGGGAGAGAAUGAGAGCUGGCCACCCCUUUUUAUAAGGUGUCGUAAACUUUCUCACCAAACUGGGUCAUCAUUGUUGUUUCCGUAUUUGAGCUGGUCAAGUCCAACCAUAAAUGUCUUGACUCAAUCUGUAUGCUUCCUUCCUUAUCUGACUCCCUC
RNAcentral lists this long non-coding RNA (446 nucleotides) under Brassica napus (rape). Its description in RNAcentral is "long non-coding RNA (BNAP_LNC019700)". The record is from RNAcentral. Lineage: Eukaryota; Viridiplantae; Streptophyta; Magnoliopsida; Brassicales; Brassicaceae.